UCGAGGACACCAACCUGUGCGCCAUCCACGCGAAGCGCGUCACCAUCAUGCCCAAGGACAUCCAGCUGGCCCGGAGGAUCCGAGGGGAGAGGGCCUAGGAAGGAAAAGCCCUCCCAGCCAUGGCUUGGGCGGACAAACCCUGCUGCGGCAAUCAUCUCACUAUCCAAUUCAAAGCUCAUCUCGGAUCCCAGGCCCCCCUCCCCCCCUUCCCUAAGCAAAUUUCAGUUCUUUGUGAUUGGGGAUGGCUUGGCUGAUGUUGUUCACUAAGUAAAUGUGCCUAUUUAGUAGUUUAUUGGGUAGGGUUUCCUUUCCCAGGACGACGACGGCUCCUCCCUCUCCCCUCCCCGGAGUCCGUUCCCUGCAUAGUAGCUUAAUGUGGAAGUUCGUGCUCCCCCUCCUGUGCAACCCCUUAUGCGAUGUUACAGAACCUCAUUCUUCUCUCCAUCUGGGUGUUAGUCCCUUCUGUUGGAUCUCGUUCUGUUUGGUACUAAAAAUGGCAUCUGUGAUCGUCGGGCAGCACCUGGGAAUUCAACGCGGGAGUUCUUCCCAAAGUUAACAUGAUUCGUCAGCCCUGUUAAAACGAUUUACGGUGGCGGUUCUUAUUGAUAUAGCCGACAUGACCCAAAGACAAGGCCUACACCGUCAGUCAAACAAGAGAGCUCGCAUUGUGUUGGCGUUCUUCUUAGCGUUUGCGGGGGGGGGGCAGGGGGAGGAAGAAGAGGGUUCGAGCAGAUCCCAAGCUGCCGGCCCGAGUCAAAAUUUUUAUUGAGUAGAGAGAUGCUCCUCUGGCCUGGGAGUCCCGUUGACCAGAAGCCGCCUACAGGGGGCCCGGGAAUGUGCCGUUCUCCCUCUGCUCGUUCCACCGUUCCACCUGCAAGNNNNNNNNNNNNNNNNNNNNUAGAUAUGUGUGUGUGUGUGUGUGUGUGUGUGUGUGUGUGGAAAGAUGCCUUGAAAGUCUUCCAAGAGGGGGGGGGAGAAUCUCCAAGAACAAGCCAGGAAAUAAGCAAGGGAAUGUGAGAAUUUUCCCCUGUAUAGAAAAAAAAUGUAUGCUGGCAUGGCAGGCGUAAUAUGUAGAGUGGCCCCAGCUCCUGACUAUAUUGAUGUGGAGGGAUUGGAUGUUCUUCGCAUUUGCCUAUUUCUUGAUGCCCAGACAAAAAAAGAAAGUCAACGGUGCUCAUGAGAGCAGUUACCCAUUCAUCCUGUUGCCCGUGGUGACAAGUACAAGGGAAAAUGGAGGCCAUGAUUGUCGCCCCAGAUAACUUUCAAUCAAGACUUAGGACUCCAUAAAUGGAACACUGAAAGAGCUUUCAAAAAGCACCUCAAUAAUGGAUCAUCUCGUACUACAAGUUUUGAAAUUCACUCCAAAAAAAGUAUGAUCCAAGUAUUCGAUAGCCCAAAUUUUCUCUAGUGCCUAAAAUUUUUUCAACAUCUCAAAGCAUGUUCUUUCAGCAUUAAACAAGAGCGUAAGUUCGUUGGAAUUAAUUCACUAUGUGAAAGAACUCUAAGAUAAUGUUAGUGCCAGGAAUAGAAGGUCAAGCUAAUACUUUGGUGUCUACAUUUGAUGUGUCAACUUUAUCAUGCAUGGGAUUUGCUGAUCAUAGUAAUCUAAUUAACCCGGACAUAGUAAUCUCUUCAAAAGGUUAGAUCGGCAGCUGCAGCGUGCCAGGAACCUAAUAUUUCUGAAUUAAUGUGACGGCCAUGAAAGCAUUUCGGGAAAAAAAUAAAAUAUUAUGUGAUAGUUGAAAGCAUAUCUCAUGUCCACCUAAAUGAUCUCGAAUAAUAGUGAUGGUGAUUAAAUGAGCUUGAAUCCAAGUCCACAGGGACAUCCAAAUCUUAGUCAUGAGGAGAAGGAAGCUCAACAAGCAUCUUGACCGAUGUAGAUCGCAACAAUAGAAAGCUCUUUAAUCGUACUAAAGGAUCAAGGCCUAUCUCCAUUAACGUCGCCACUGGUCAACCAAAAGAAGGCAACUAAAUUUGUGAGCUUACUGCCAUGAAUCUUGCAAGCUUCCCAAUGUUUCUUAUGCCCUUUAGAACAGACGCGCUGCAAUAUUUUACCACGAGGCUCCUUUAUUUCUAUUAGCAAGCCCUGUCUUACCAACGCAGCGUUACGAGGUGUCAUCGGCGUGGCAACUCCACAGGGAGUUGACCCACAGCACAAGAUGCUGCCAUACUCUAGGAAACACUACGGGCUAAAUAAAAGCUGCCCGGAGAAAAAAAGGGUGAUUCGACAAAUAAUAACUCCAGGAAACAUGUUCAGCUUUGAUCUUGAACAGAAGACCUCGGAGAAUUUUUCUGCGGGCAGCAAUUACAUGGGCAUCAAACUUCAGGAACUAGUAAAAAAGGAGCCCCAUCUAAAUUUCCUUUCUGAUGUGCGCAGCAAUAGCUAUGUGGGAAACAGCAAGGGUGCAUGCCCAAUAUGGUCCUGGAGACGAUUCCACACAGGAAUAAAUAUCUUUGCAUUUAAUUAUCGUGACAUCUUAACAGCAGCACACGAAUGAGCCAAAGGCCAUUUAGCGAGAUUAAAACACACCAGCGAGAGAAAAAAGAUAGACGGAAAAAAAAAUGACAAGUCAACGGGCCUCACAAUCUUGUUUGAAUGAAAAAACUUGAAGUCGUAGAGAUGAUAUUAGUGAACAUACCCAUUCACUGGGACAGAGUGAACGAUAAUACUUUGCGAACUUAUCACACUCCGGCGCGCCUUCACCCUUUGCAUUUAUGCACCUAAAUUAACACAUAAUCAUCAAUCACAACGUUUUCCUUGUUAUGGAAGAGAUUUGGGGUUACAGCAACAUGAUACGGACAUGUGGGCAAUAUUAACUACUAUUUUGAAGCUUGACAAAGCUCACAGAUGUACAGUUCUACCUGUGAUAUUCAACAUAGCGAGUAAAGCAAUGCCUCGUCUGGUUUGUCGUUGGGAAACGGAAGUCUGCGGGUGCUGUCUCAAGCUGAAAUAAAAAUAAAGAUUUUUUCAUGAGUAUGUCCUUCACUGACUCUCUAAAAUUAUCAUGGCUAGCGUAUAGAAAACUAGUCUCUUUAAAAUGAUACCUUGACAACUGGGGUCUCUUCAGAAGCUUCUUCCUCUACAGAUUCUGGCUCAUUAGCUUCAGCGGUCUCCUCUGCAGCAGGGGUUUCAUCACUUUGCUCUGUAAAUGCUUCCUCAGGUGAAGCAUCAUUCUCUGCAGCAGGGGGAUUUUCAUCCUCUGCAGCGGGGGGAUUUUCAUCCUCCGCAGCAGGUGUCUCAUUCUGCUUCGGAUCCUCUGCGGCCUCUUUCAAGUCAACAUCCUCGACUGUUCCUUCAGGGAUCACACUCUUAUCCGCAUUCUCUUUACCCUCCACUGACCAUUGCUGCACAUGAAAUCAUGAAGAAGAUUCAGCAUUGGAACAAAUCAAAAAGAAAAAAAUACAUAAAACUGCAUUAACAAAUCGGUAAUCAUUGAUAAUCCGGUUUAAAAGGGAAUUAUUCUUAUAAGUCAAAACUCAAAACAAGAGAAGCCGCGGUUUCGAACAUUAACUAUGAGAUUCCCCACAGCCGAAAAUCAUGAUUUGAGUUUUUCAUAUUUCAAUGGGAAAAUAGUAUGCUGCACUGGUCAGAUUGUUGAAACAGGGCAUGACUUUGAUUUACCUUGGGAAAGUGUAUUUUAUCUUCGAAUUAUUGGUAUCCAAUCUAUCAGAAAAUUGCAACAAGAUCUGCUAUAGAAAAUGGCAACAAAAACCAUAAAUUACAUGAAGAAAAGUUUAAACUCUUGAAUAUGAUCCGCGACAUUCAACUUAACUUUAAAUUCUUGAAUUAUUUCACGCUUUUUUCUACCAUCAAAUACAAGUCGUUAUAUAGUCGCGUCCCUUUUAUGCUGGUGGAGUUCAAGUCCAAAACCAAGAGGUCUUCUCCUGAAAAACACCUAUAUUCUUUCCAAUUCAUGACAUUGAACCACAUCUGCGAUUUGUGGGGCACUGCUCAACAGGAAACCUGUGUUGGUAAUCAUAAAACCAAAUGUAGGAGAGAAAUAUGGAAUCCUCACACAAUGCCAUGUGAAAAAUCCACUUCAAUCCAUAAAUGCUUCAAAGUAAUGUCAUCUUCCCCGCAUGUUUGCCAAGCUCAUAUUUCAAGAAAAACCUCUCAAUCACGGUAUUUUGAGAAGACACCAACAAUCCAAAGAUUUUCUCUCACAUCAUCGCCUUAUUUACUUUGUGAACCAGAAGACUAUACUCUAACUUAGCAUGCCAAUUAGCCCUAUAAAACAGCACGGCCUCCAAUUUGUACAGCUUUCUCUAUAAUACCCUUGACAUCUUUUUCUACUAUGAAGAACACACUAAUUCUGUGGCCCUUUUCAAAGGCAAAAUUUGGCCAUUUGCCAAAUCUCAUAGUCGCAGUCAAAUUUCCUCAUUUCUCAGUUUUCUACGCAAACACUAACCGUCUUCCAAAUAUCUGAAGCAAUUAACCUCUCACUCUGUUUAGUAGAUAACAAUCUGAAUGUAGAACUGCCUAUAGUUGGCGCACUUAAUACCCACGCGAUCUGUUUGACUCAAACGAUGUACUUCAAAAUCUAUGAUACCGCAACCAAUUAUGACGAAAUACAAAUUUACAAAAGAAAAUAAAGCAUAUGCCGUAUUUCUUAUGGACCAAUCUGCUUCAAAAACAAAGAAAAACAACUAGACUACCAAAGAAAACGGGUCGUAUCAAAUGUCACUAGUAGUCACAACUGUUCAGAUGUCGAACUAAUAUAUAAAAUUCGCAUUGUUUUACUGGAAGAGACGCAUGUGAAGCUUAUUUAUCUAUUUACACCCGAACAGUGACAUCAGAACAGCAACGUCAGAUACCGUGUGACCAGUGAUUCUCAUUAUCCUAACUGGACGUUCAGGAGAAUUAUGGUUUCGCACGACAACUUCCAACAUGAACAUGAUUUUCAUAAAAUAAAAACAUCAUUAAAAAUAGGUAAAAAGAAAAUACAGGGCAAAAUAACGGAAACAGCCGGGUAUCACAUAAGGACACACGAGGAAAACAUAAAGAUGCAGUCUUCACAAGAUAGCAAUUCGAAUUAAAAUAACCCUGGAAAAAAUAAGAGUUACUUCUCGAAACAAACAGGCCAACAAGCCCCUGUGCAUGAAAAAUAUCAUGGUCGUCAACGAGGUCAAUAGCAUAAUAAUCCCCAGGGCCAAUCGCGUGCGUACAAUGAUGUAAUGUCCUAGACGUGUAAUUGGCGAAUACAUAUGGCAUUAACGUCAUAGCAUUCAUAAAAAAUGCCAGUACUGGAGAGGUCGGACCAAAUAUAGAUAUGGAAAAAUUGUAGCGAGAGUGAAAGGGAAAGAAAAAAAGAGAAUACUAUGCUUCGCUGUAGAAGAAUCCAAUGUGGGUAAUCACUAAAGGGUCAAAUAUAACAGAGGGCUAUUUUGUGAACAAAUGAGGAAGUAGACAUCGACAACACCUAGCAAAGAAGGGAUCAUGGGCAAGUCUGUGUUCAACAGUGAUCUGAUCCAUGCACAUUAGCUGUCUUCAAGAGCAUCAGACACUAGAACACCCAGUCACACGUGUACAUAUCCAUGCGAACAAGUGCACACAAACAUGCACAUGCGACAUGUAGAAAGGUGGCAUUCAUGAGCAUGCAAAACAUGGAGAUCAUCAACCUGUUGGAAUAUGGCUUAAUAGUAGCAGAAGCAGCAGCAGCAGACAGUUGAUUAUGGGCAUCACCCAAGUUCUGAGAAUGUCUGACCGGACAAUGGGCCUUUCAAUUAAAAAUCCCAUUCACAGCUCGCCGGUGUCCCGAGAUCCAGCGUGGCCCAACACUCCAAGACGGUAAAAAUCAAAGAGGUUUUAGAUCUCAUUAGAAGAAAAUGGAGAAAUGACAUUAUCUUAUUUUUUUCCUGAAAUUCAACAAGAGGCCGAAUUCCUUCGAGCAAUUCCCGUAUCAGUUAGAUAGACUAUUGAAUUGGUUUCUUGAUGUGAGGAUUCUACGGCUGAAUGCUGUACAUGAUAAAGGAGAUGAAGAAUAGAGAGUCGCUGUUCCAUAAGCCCGUGGACUUUAUCUCUAUAAAAAAAUUUGAUUCUUCAUUGAUCCCCCAUAGUUACAGAAGAUAUUUACUCCUACAUGGCAAGAGAAUUCAGAGCAAGAUCCUGUCUGCCCAGAUAGCACGAGCACAUAAGAAGCUGAUUGAAGUCGUCGACUUCAUUUUCAGCGUUUCCCACAAAUCAACCUGGAAGAGUAGCCAAUAAAGAAAGAUGAGCGAGAGAUAAUUCCACCGAAUCUGUAAUCGACCAUCCACAGAUCCGGGAGAUGGAGACCCACCUACCGCCUACCCAAAUCGUCAGAAUCCAAAAAAUCGUAGACGAAAACUAAACCAAAAAUGUGAAAGCAUUGUCGGAUGAAAAAGAGGAAAUCUGGUGGACCAUAGACGCCUCGUCCUCGGCUCCAACUAGCCAUCUAUUCUUGCCGCGACGACUGGAGAAUGGGGAUGAAGAUGAUGAAGAAGGCGAGCCAGGCACCUCGGCGAGACUCGGGCUGUUCUCCUGCUGCGCUGCUCCCGCCAUCGCCCGCUAGCAACUCCGCCGCUGUGAGAUUUCCCCCUGGCGGCGCCGGUCGGUUCCCCUGCCGCCAGUGCAAACAAAGGAGAUUAUGAGAGGACCCCCUCCUCCAACGGCGUCGUUUAAAGGCAAUUGACCUCUCUCUUCUAUAUGGGCUGACAGGCCCAUAUUAUUAUUGGGCUUCAUCCAAGGCCCAUUAUGCAUCCCGCGGCAAACCAGUCUUCUCCUCGUCAUUAUUGGGCUCAUUAUUCUGUUUAAAUGGGCCGUCUAAUGGAUCUAGCCCAAAAGUCGGUUAAAUAGGCGUUGGGCCUCAUGGUAUAUGAUGUUCUGAGAGAGAGAGAGAGAGAGAGAGAGAGAGAGAGCACUAGUAUUUAAGUACUUACACGUNNNNNNNNNNNNNNNNNNNNNNNNNNNNNNNNNNNNNNNNNNNNNNNNNNNNNNNNNNNNNNNNNNNNNNNNNNNNNNNNNNNNNNNNNNNNNNNNNNNNNNNNNNNNNNNNNNNNNNNNNNNNNNNNNNNNNNNNNNNNNNNNNNNNNNNNNNNNNNNNNNNNNNNNNNNNNNNNNNNNNNNNNNNNNNNNNNNNNNNNNNNNNNNNNNNNNNNNNNNNNNNNNNNNNNNNNNNNNNNNNNNNNNNNNNNNNNNNNNNNNNNNNNNNNNNNNNNNNNNNNNNNNNNNNNNNNNNNNNNNNNNNNNNNNNNNNNNNNNNNNNNNNNNNNNNNNNNNNNNNNNNNNNNNNNNNNNNNNNNNNNNNNNNNNNNNNNNNNNNNNNNNNNNGUAGUAGUAGUAGUAGUAGUAGUAGUAGAGAGAGAGAGAGAGAGAGAGAGAGAGAGAGAGAGCACUGAUUUUAAAGCUUACACGUGGCCGGUCGAGAUAAUGCCACCACUAUGAUCCGACGAGUGACAAAAGUCAAAUAUGGUUUUUUAUCGUCUGUUGACUUACAGAGUUACUAAAAACUAUUCUUGUAACAGCUAGUCAACGAGUUGUGUCCGUUCGAUCACCACCCUGGUUUAUGGCAAUGCCACCACCUGGGGAUGUCUUCAGAAUUAUGACGUGGCCUGCAAAAAGUCAAAAUUGAGAUACGUGCCAAAUAAAUGGGAGGCACCAUUUUUUUGGUAUUAAUGCCCGUGAUAGACUACAAGUGACGCAAGUCAACACUUGAAGGUGGAGUGCUCGGACGAACAAAAUAUAUUAACAGUCAACUAAAUCGCUGACUUGGAGAACAAAAUAUUAGCGUGACUAAAUAUGAUUAAGAGUCGAACAUAUCUCACGUGCGCCCAACUUUGGUCGUUGACCAGACAUUGUUAAAUUGAAGGUGCAUUUUUAGAAAGUCAACUAUGACGCGGAAUAUUGGCGGCUCAUUCUUUUUCUCGAUUUCCCACCGGCCGAUUUAAUUUCGUUGAAUUUUUCUUCUUUUUCCCAGCUCGAAGGCGACAGGUGGGAGCGGAAGGCGACAGUCAAAGGCCGAUCCCCUCAGUCAAGGCUGUCGCCGACCGUCCACAUUUAAUUAACAGAAUCAAGUUCUUCUGUCAGCAUCCUCCCCCAAGUGGUCUCAAAAGACAUAAAAAUAUUCACGUUAAACCCUAUAAAAAUAUUUAUUUUGUAAAUGCCUUCAAAACGUAUAUACACGUAUAUCCUUCACUCGGGGGGGUCGGGGAAAUACACGGUAAAAUGGUUGCAACCCCAACGCCAUGAAAUAAAAUAAAUAAUUAAAAAAUAUUAAUCGGUUUUAUAAGUUUAUAUGUUAUAAACUUAUUAAUUAUAAGUUUAUAAGUUUAUAUGUAUCUAGAUAUUAACGUAUGAUGAGGAUAUAUAUAGUAUACUUUAUUUAAAUGGGGUUUAUUGCAAUUAGGGAGGAGUAUUCAAUUAUUGGUACCGAUAAGCUUUUAUACGAGACACGCUCUGGUCGCACGUGCCAACUGGCUUCUCGAAUCCACCAUCCCCUUCCGUCAUCCCUCGCUCAUCAAGGAGAGGAGGAACCAGGAGGUGUGCUGGUGCGCGGCAGGGAAGCGCAGGUGACUGCGGAGGUCAUCGCCGCCUUCCAUGCGAGCUCUGCGGACAGGAAGGGGCCGACUGAAGCUGAAGCUUGGCUGGCGGCGUGCCUCGACGGGACUGCAUAGGUUUCUCUCCCCUCCCCCCUUUCAUCCCCUCUCUCUCUCUCUCUCUGUGCUUGGAGAGUGUUCGAUUCGGAUUUGAGUCGGGGGGUAUGGAGAAGGGCGCUGAUCCGGCUGCGCAGAGCAGCAGCAGCAGCAGUAUUAGCGGCGCCAAUAACGGAGGCGGGAAAUCGGCGGCCGUCCAGAACGCCCUCAGGCAGCUUCACAAGAGUUCGCAUAAGAUUUCCAAACCUACCCCGAGGCAUUGCAGCGGCGGCGGGGGGGACGGGGGAGGUGAUUCCGGCUGUCCAAGCGACGUCAAAGCACCGUCUCCUUCGUUACCGGUGCCGGCGGUGCCGGCGGUGCCGCCGCCGCCGCCGCCGCCAUCUGCUAGCCAGCAGCCUUUGCCGCAGCCGCCGGUGUAUAACAUCAACAAGAACGAUUUCCGUGAAGUGGUUCAGAAGCUUACUGGCUCCCCGGCCCACCAGCCCCGUUUAUCCUCUCCUCGGGAACUGUCAAAGCCGGCCGCGGCCACCGCCGGCGGAGGCGGCGCCUCCUCCCGUCUGCAAAAGAUCCGGCCGCCGCCCCUCGCUCAGCUCACCCCCCGUUCCUCUCCGUCUCUAGCGCCGGCCGCGGCGGCCGAUCCAGUUCACGUCUCCUCCGGGGGCUUCGGCGUGGGUGCGUGGCCUAGGUCAUCGCCUCUCUCCCCCCUUCCACCGCUUCCGACGGUCAGCGCCGCCGCGGAGUCGCCAAUCUCUGCCUACAUGCGGUGCCUCCGGAGUGGAUCUGUUCCAAAUCAGCAAAGCUCACUGCCGUCCCCGGGAGCCGGCUCUUCCGGUUCUGCUCUGCUCCCACUGGGUCCGCCUUCGCCGCUGGGUCUCGGCUGCGUGCCAUCUCCAAGAUCAGCUUACCAGAUGAUGCUCUCGUCGGGUCUGUUCCUCCCGCCAUCGCCAGGCCUGCCAUUGCCCAGCCCGAGAUGGAAGGACCAGUAGAACGUUGAGGAGGAGCUCCCCGCGGAGGAGGUAAGUAGGAUCCCAGCGCCAGAGAUCUUCAGGUUGCCCCUGGCGGCAGUUUUGUUUGUAAAUGGCUACCCGCCUCCCCAAGCUUUACAUUCUCUCGGCUUCCAUAGAAUCAUCGUUCAUCAUUGUAUAUAUAGAAAAUGGAUGGCUGAUCGCGCAAGAUCCUGCACCCUCGACACCGGUGCGACCUGAAUCUUACAUGGGUUCUCUCUCUAUUUUUGUUGAUUUCUCCGGUUGGCCGCGUUCUUCUUGCUCAUGUUUUUACUCGGGUUCCCAGCUUCGAUCUGUUGCUUGCUUAUUAUUCUAAGCUGGUUCCUGAUCAGAGCUUCUGAUCUUCUUUGAGAUCAUUCAUUUGGAGGGUAGCAAUCCUCAGAAUCAUCUACUGCUCUCAGAAGCGUUUCAUCGCUGAUUGGUCCUUCUCAAUCUGGUUCCUUUGGGGACUUCUGACCGCGGCAAGGCCUUUUGAUCCAGCUCAUGCCGGCUGAUUCAUGCCCAUUCCCAUCCCUAGUCAGUUCCUCCCAUGACUAGCAAACGGGUGGUGCUUCCUGGAACCCGAGGCCCUGGUCGCCCCUGUCUAUGAAUGUUUUUCAGCUUGCUGUAUUUAGACUCCCGGGGAGUGGGGGAGUUUGAAGAAGCAGCCGGCAGUUGUGAUUUUUUUUCCUGUAUGGGGAAAGAAUUAGGGGCCCCAGAUGUUGAAUCAAGGAAAGUCUUGAAGGGUUCGAUUUUUUCUUUUUUGUCGAACCCAGUUGAGUUUCUCCCAAUAUUUAAGUGCAGAUUAUGUUACAUGUUUUUGUGCUAAUUAGUAUCAUAUUUUUACAGGUUCAAUUGGAUAUCAAUUGGGCUCUAAAAUUAUUAGCCCUUCUGCAUGCGAUUCAACAAAAAAUGAUUUAAUCAGGACGAAAUUCCUGGUUUAUUUCUGAUUGAAAUCCCAUAUUUGAGAUUUUUUGUGGAAUUACUCUGAGCUGUCUGCAAGUUCCUCCCUAAAUCUGCAUGUAAUUAGAUAGGAAAUCUAUUCUUGGCCCCCCCAAUCAAAAGGCCUCGUCUGGUUUUCUCACACAGAAGCUCUCUGCUGCCUUCCUCUUUCUGUCAUGCCUCUUCUUCCAUGUAUGCUCUCCUCACAUAGCAUUAUUCAGAACCUUUCUUAAUCUGGGUAUGGUUGUAUUAUGGAAUCAGUGGGGUAAAAAUAGAAGCUUUCUCUCUCUCUCUCUCUCUCUAGGCUUUAUAAUAUAGGGGAAGGCCCAGCCCAUUUGGGGGCUCAUUCUUUGUAGACUCCUCCCAGGUAUUCGGGGAUAUAACCAGCCGGCUAGAUGGACGGCCGGGUGACGUGGAAUUCGAAGAAUUAUUUUGAAAAUAAUUAUUCCACUAUAAUAUUAUGUGGUUUGACGGCGAGGAGGGAAGCUGCCUCUUCGGACGUCGCCACGGUCGUCGUCACCGUCUCGGCGACACGUGGUACAGACCCACUGCCGCCCCGACAAGGACCUUCGAUGUCGGAUCUGCCUUCGAAGCUUAUCCUUUAAUUCUCACCGACUCUGCCCAUUUUAUUUUAGGUAAUUUAUACUGCAAUGUUGAAGAUAAUUAGGGUUAUUAUUAUUAUUACUAUAAUUAGUAUAAAAAUAGGAGUUUGGAUAUAAUGGUUAACGUUACUGGGCGUAUGUCGGCAAGGGCCCAGUAGCCUCGGCGGCACAUGUGAGCCUCGGCGGCUGCUUGCCUCUCGCAGCUGGCAGCACCGGAACGGUGGCGAGAGCUGAAGGGUCCAUCUCCAGGUGUCUGGUUCUGGAGAUCCACUGCCACGCGUCUCCGAGGGGCUCGUCGGGGGCGGGGGUGGGAGGAAAAGGGGGAAGAGAGAGAGAGAGAGAGAAGAGAGAGAGAGAGCAGUAGUCCAUGUCGCCAACGGAGAAGCCAGUCUGAACGGGUCUCGGGACUUGGAUGGCGAUGGGUUGCUUCUUCUCGAAUCAACUGUUUAACGCCGAAAAGGAUGCUCCCUACUGCAGGGCAGCUCCGGACGGCCGGUAUUUGCUAAAUCGACGGCGUGGGGAUUGGACGGAGAGGGGGGCCCUUUUGGGAUCGCCCAUUAUCUGUUUGUUGUUUUGUCUCUCAGAUCUUCCCGGCCCUUUUAUAGGCAGUGGGGGGAGGGAUAUUGGGGUGACCUGAACAGGGCGAUCGCCGGGUUGAAAUACCUGGUCUCAGGGAGCGGGUGGCGAUGGAGAGGUAUGAGGUGUUGAAGGACCUCGGGUCUGGGAACUUCGGAGUGGCCAGGCUGGUCAGAGAUAGAUGGACCAAGGAGCUCUACGCCGUCAAGUUCAUAGAGAGGGGUCAGAAGGUCUGUGCCCAUCUUCGUUUCCCUUCCCUCUUCACUCUUGUGGGCCAAAUUACGCCCUCUGAGUUCUCUGGAUUCAUCCUGCCCUGCUCAUCAUGUUCUUCUUCCUCCUGGUGUCUGGUUAUCAGCAGAUCGACGAGCACGUGCACAGGGAGAUCAUGAACCACAGGUCGCUGAAACAUCCGCACAUAGUCAGGUUCAAGGAGGUGCCUCUCGCUGUUCUUCCCUUAUUCCUCGCUAUAUUUUCUGCACACACAUAUUGGGUAUUUUCACCUGCCCGAAUUUUUUGUUCGGUUCUUCGUGUUGGUGCUCGCAAGAUGUGGGUUCACUGGGUCUUAUCUCCGUCUCGUUCGGGAUUGAACGACGAUCUUCUCCCCGGAGCGCCGAAUAUUUUUCCAAGAGCUGAAUCUCGUUUCCUUUCCCUUGAAGGUGCUGUUGACUCCUACCCAUCUCGCUAUCGUUAUGGAAUACGCCGCCGGUGGUGAGCUUUUCGAGAGGAUAUGCAAUUCUGGGAGGUUCAGCGAAGACGAGGUAAAUAAACGGACCUCUCUCUCUCUCUCUAUAUAUAUAUAUAGAUAUAUAUAUAUCUCGAUUUUGAGAGGUUUUAACACAAUAAUAAUAAUAAUAGUAAUGUUUUUCAUUGAUAUUUUGACAGGCAAGGUUCUUCUUUCAGCAAUUGAUAUCAGGGGUCAGCUACUGUCAUUCCAUGGUACUCGUAGAGUCGCAUCACUGCUGCAUUCUUCUUGGUUUUUUUUUUCCCUGGAAAAACAUGAGAGCGGUCAAACCUAAUCUGGGUUUUUUUUCUUUCUUUCUAAAUUUAGCAAAUUUGUCACAGAGAUCUAAAGCUAGAGAACACACUGCUGGACGGGAGCAUGGCUCCUCGCCUCAAAAUAUGUGAUUUUGGGUACUCGAAGGUGCGUACUCGAAACCGUUAGCCCACCCAACUGUGUUUACACCUACCCUCGUGAAAACCAGGGGCCAGUUUUUUCGGUGUUCCACUGACAUGCCCUGCUGGCAGUCUUCGGUGUUCCACUCUCAGCCGAAGUCAACGGUCGGCACGCCGGCUUACAUCGCCCCGGAGGUGUUGUCCAGGAAGGAAUACGACGGAAAGGUGGCGGCGGCCUCCCUCACUUUUUCCUAUUUACAGGCGAUCUGAGUUUCUUCUGCAUGCGAGAUCCUGAAUUCGUUCAAUCCCCAUUUCCGGGUUGCUCAGAUCGCAGAUGUCUGGUCGUGCGGCGUGACCCUGUACGUGAUGCUCGUCGGAGCUUACCCCUUUGAGGACCCAUCCGAUCCGAGGAACUUCCGGAAGACGAUCGGCGUAAGCUUUCUCAGACUUCCAUUCGCUCACUGCAAACCAAGUGUUUCGGAUCUGACGACGCGAUUCUUUAAGAAAAAGAAACGAAAAAAAAGAAGAAAUCUUGCAACGCGGAAGAGAUGGGGCUCUUCUGUUUUUGAUCGGUCUGCUCUCAUGGGCACUGGAUGACGAUAUUUCACCGUCGAUUGGCAGAGAAUUCUCAACGUCCAUUACUCCAUCCCCGACUUCGUCCCGGUGUCGCCGGAAUGCCGGCACCUGCUGUCGCGCAUAUUCGUCUCCAGCCCCGAGAAGGUAAUCCUCCACCGCCUGCUUUCCUCCGGCGGCGCCGCCGCUGCCCUGCGGUUCCUCAGAGACGGACGAUUCCUUGUUUCCCUUGCAGAGGAUAACCAUCCCGGAGAUUAAGGAGCACCCGUGGUUCCUGAAGAACCUGCCGAUGGAGCUCUCCGAGGACCCGCUGGACGACUGCUCCGGCGGCCCUGCGCAGAGCGUGGAGGAGAUCCUGAGCGUGUUGCAGGAGGCGAGGAAGACCCCCGAGGGGCGGGUGGUCGCCGGCGGGGGGGCCUUCGUCGGCGGGGGGAGCAUGGACCUUGAUGACCUUGACGCCGACGGCGAUCUCGACGACCUCGACGCCAGCGGAGACUUUGUGUGCUACCUGUGAGGCAGCUCCGGCCGGGGAUGGUGGUGGCGGCGGCGGUUCCUCCCGGCGAUCGCGGCGGCGCUGCUGUCGGGCUCUUUCAUUUGUGUGGGUGGUGGUGGGGAUGCGGCUGUGUAAGAUAUUCUUCUGGUUGCCGUAGAGUUUCGCAUCUCGAGAAACAAAUUUUGCAGCUUCCAGUUCCAGAUACCUCGUACCUCGGAGAGGGGGAGCGACAGAGAAGAGAGAUAGAGAGAGAAGAAAGGAAAGAGAGAGCGAGAGAGAGAAGAGAGAGAACAGGGAGAGAGAACGAGAGAGUGACAUAGAAGAGAGACAGAGAGAGCGAGAGAGUGACAUAGAAGAGACACAGAGAGGGCGAGAGAGUGACAUAGAAGAGAGACAGAGAGAGGAGAGAGCGGGAGAGCGGGAGAGAGAGUGAGAGACAGAGAGAGGAGAGAGCGGGAGAGCGGGAGAGAGAGUGAGAGACAGAGAGAGGAGAGAGCGGGAGAGCGGGAGAGAGAGACAGAGACAGAGAGCGACAGAGCGAGUGAAAGAGAGACAGCGAGAGAGAGAGAAAGAGAGAGAGAGCGAGAGAGCGUGCGACAGAGCGAGUGAAUGAGAGAAACAGCGAGAGAGAGAGAGAGAGAGAGAGAGAGAAAGACAUGGGACAUGNNNNNNNNNNNNNNNNNNNNNNNNNNNNNNNNNNNNNNNNNNNNNNNNNNNNNNNNNNNNNNNNNNNNNNNNNNNNNNNNNNNNNNNNNNNNNNNNNNNNNNNNNNNNNNNNNNNNNNNNNNNNNNNNNNNNNNNNNNNNNNNNNNNNNNNNNNNNNNNNNNNNNNNNNNNNNNNNNNNNNNNNNNNNNNNNNNNNNNNNNNNNNNNNNNNNNNNNNNNNNNNNNNNNNNNNNNNNNNNNNNNNNNNNNNNNNNNNNNNNNNNNNNNNNNNNNNNNNNNNNNNNNNNNNNNNNNNNNNNNNNNNNNNNNNNNNNNNNNNNNNNNNNNNNNNNNNNNNNNNNNNNNNNNNNNNNNNNNNNNNNNNNNNNNNNNNNNNNNNNNNNNNNNNNNNNNNNNNNNAGAGAGAGAGAGAGAGAGAGAGAGAGAGAGAGAGAGAGAGAGAGAGAGAGAGAGAGAGAGAAGAGAGAGAGAGAGAGAGAGAGAGAGAGAGAGAGAGAGAAAGACAUGGGACAUGCAAUGGAAUGGUCCGAAUAUACCUACACACGCCCGCAGAUUAUCACACCCAGAGUUUGGAGUCAGUAUAAAGGGUUUGCGAUCAGCCAACAUAAUAAAUUCGCAAGAUUUGAAAGGAGAUCAGUCAAUGUAAUAGGAGAUGCUAGGAUUAUGUGCUCCACAGUUAACAAAUCUACGAGACUAAUAUAAGAUGUAGUCACUUACUCACGGGGUAGUUAACAAUAAUAAAAAAUAUGUAGACAAACAGCAGCACAAUGAUGAUAUGAUUGGUAUACUAGAAGACAAAUUAUUCAAUAGGAAGGGGAUUUUAAGGGAUAACUUGCCGCCACUAGACGGGCAUAUUAGAGCUUACUUGUAGUCAUCUGCUUAUGAAACACGAUAGCAACAACAAUCAUAGGGUGGGCUGUUGUUGAGCUGUCCUGGGUUUCUAUUCAGUGGUCUAAAAUAUAUGGAGAUAGAGAGAUAGAGGAUGAGAGGGGAAAGAGAAGAUAGUGGUGAGCGGUAGUGGGAUGAUAUAGUGAGAUAAAUUGAGGCUGCCAUGACUUUCAUAGUUGUCGCUUCGCAUGACAGUGAUGCAUGACCUUUUGGGCUCCUCCAUAAACAGAUGACACAUGUAAAUUUUUCUCAAAAUUCUUAUUUUAUCAUAUUCUAGGAUUUAUGGGGUUUUAUACUCCACUCAAAAGUGCAAAUAGAGGGAACACAUGUUAAUCUAAAAAGUCAUCCUUAAAUGAGCAUGGGCCAUUGUAUUGUCGAAUAGGUCGACGGUUUAGGCUCCUUUAUUCUCCGCCAACUCUUCCGAUUAGGAAAGAACUCAACUUUGUCAAAUAGAGGAGGGGAGGGGGGGUUGUCAACGUUGUGAUGAUUGAAUAUAGAUCAAUAUAUUGUAGCUUCUCUUGAGAGAUGCACAAGUCAUCAGAUGGCAAACAUGCUUUUUAACAUAUAAAGAAUUGCUGCAAAUCAUGAUUUCAAGUAGAUAUAAUUUAGACAUCUAGUGUAACAUCAAUAUCAUCACAUCAUGCUUCAAAUAUGGUAGGAGGACAUUUAAUGAGUGGUUUACUCAUAGAAGAGAGUCAAGCGUGAACAUGUCAUUGAGAAUGACAAGUGGGUCAUGAUAUGUAGCUAUAUUAAAAAUGUUAAAGGUGGAGUUAAUUCUUCAAUCAUGAGGCAAAUCGAUCAUGUACACAUUAGAAUAUGCUUCAAGAUCUUGAAGGGUCAUGUACAACGAGCUUGAAACUUAGUGAUAAUAUUUGGUGGAUAUCAUUCGGACAUAAUUUGAACCAUGAUAAAAUCACCUUAUUUAAACUCUUCAAAUCAUUUGUAAGAAUCAUUUAAGUAUUAUAAGUUUCAUUAUUAAGGUUAAUACGAGUAUGCAUAUUAUCAUGCAUGCUUCGAAUAUGCUGUGUAAGGGACUCUAUAGAUCAUGAAACUCUAUACUACAUGAACAUUAGGAUAAAGUCAAUAGGAUAGCGAGGAUUGGAUUCAUAAACUAUCUCAAAAGGGUUUAAGCCUGUAAUAUGAUCAACAUUAGUGUUAUAUAUAAAAUCAACACGUGAAAGAAGAAAAUCUCAAGUGCUUAGAUGAUCAUGGACUAAACAUCGAACUAGGUUCCCAAAGCUUUAAUUAUCGACCUUUGUUUGCCGAUCUAUUUGUGAGUGGAAUGUUGUAGAAAAUUAUAACUAAAUGUCAUAAUGUUUUUCAAAAAAAAUUGGUAUAAUAUCAUCAAUGUAUAAUUUGACUACUUUGGAGUCAUCUUAUGUCUUUGAACAAAGUAAAAAAUAAGUCAUUUUUUGAAGAUUGCUCAAACACUACAAAGAUAGAAUCAUAAUUUUUAUUCUAUUUUAGGGAAGCCUAAAAUAAAAUCUAUACUUAUGUUUUCCCAAAGAUGAUAAGGAAUCAAAAGAGGGUGUAGAAUCAUGUGUUAUAUUUCAUGUGUUUAGAGAGGAGAUGUGUAACAUGAGGUGCAUAAAUGACUCUAUUGAAAUAAAUAUCCAUCUUAAAAUAUGUAAUCAUUAAUAUGAGCAAAAUCUGAAUAAUCAAUGUAAACUUCUUUUAGCUGAUUGAAGCCAAUUUCUUUGACAUUCAUCAAGGACAAUAAGUGUGCUUAAUGGUUGAAGGCAUUAAUUAUUUUAUUUUCUACCUCAUAUUUAUGUUUAAGGACAAAAGUAUAGGCUUAAAAGAACUCUAUCUAAUGUCUAUGAUGAGGGUUAAAUUUUCAUUGAGAAUUAAGGUAUCUUAAUUCUUCAUGGUCAAAAUAUAGGAUAACUUAUUACAACAAUAAAUAGUGAUACCAAUAAUGGAUGGCCUAAAUAACAACGUAUAACUCCUUAUUAUAUAACAUAUUUUAAUUUAGCCUCAUUUAAUUUUCACUAAGAAAAGCGAUGGUGUGACCAUCUUGACUCAAAACAUUAUAUUGAUGUUAGAGGUGUCAUAAAUUACCUUAAAUACUUUGUUAAUAUCAAGUAAAUGAAUGACAUAAGUUUUAGUCAUCCUCUCUUCAAUCUCUUUGAAGGCCUUAGUGACUAUGUUGGGUCAGUCAAAUAUUUCUUUCUUUAGGCUAGUUGUAAUAGGGGUCAUAAGAGUGUUAAAAUUUUGAAUAAAGUGACGAUAAAACAUGGCCAACCUAUGAAAACUUCGAAUAUUAUGUAGAGUACAAUGUUCAUGCAAUUCUGUGAUGGCUUUGGCUUUCUCGAGGUUUGUUAAAACAUUCAUUGAAGAUGUUAGAAAGCCUAAAAAAAUAAUUUGAUCAGUCAUAAAAGUAUAUUUUUUAGAUUGAUAUAUAAAUUAUCUUUUCUAAGAGUUGUAUAGACUACAUGUAGAUGUUCAAGGUGAUACUCAUUUUUCUUAUUGUAAAUAAGGAUAAUAUCAAAAUAAACUAUGAUAAAUUUACAUAUAUAUGAUAUUAAAACUUAGGCCAUCAAUCACAUAAAUAUACUUGGGGCUUUAGACAAGCCAAAUGGCAUGACCAACCACUCAUAGAACCCUUCCCUAAG
RNAcentral lists this long non-coding RNA (18061 nucleotides) under Spirodela polyrhiza (greater duckweed). Its description in RNAcentral is "long non-coding RNA (SPOL_LNC001248)". The record is from RNAcentral. Lineage: Eukaryota; Viridiplantae; Streptophyta; Magnoliopsida; Alismatales; Araceae.